AAAGUUUAAAAGCAAAACAUUUAAUAAAAUGUUACGCAAAGCUAUGGACCCACUAAUUGGGCUGCCAGGCUGCCAGA
Molecule: non-coding RNA, 77 nt
Filed under: Halanaerobium saccharolyticum
Lineage: Bacteria; Bacillati; Bacillota; Clostridia; Halanaerobiales; Halanaerobiaceae
Also listed under: 1 other name
Description: c-di-GMP sequence
Rfam family: c-di-GMP-I riboswitch aptamer
About the family: GEMM was predicted in a large-scale screen for bacterial structured RNA regulatory elements. Genes associated with GEMM are involved in a diverse array of functions, including chemotaxis regulation, signal transduction, secretion and chitin.
Source: RNAcentral